Molecule: ribosomal RNA, 492 nt
Filed under: uncultured bacterium
Lineage: Bacteria
Description: partial 16S ribosomal RNA
Rfam family: Bacterial small subunit ribosomal RNA
Source: RNAcentral
AGUGAACGCUGGCGGUAGGCCUAACACAUGCAAGUCGAACGGCAGCACAGUAAGAGCUUGCUCUUACGGGUGGCGAGUGGCGGACGGGUGAGGAAUACAUCGGAAUCUACUUUUUCGUGGGGGAUAACGUAGGGAAACUUACGCUAAUACCGCAUACGACCUACGGGUGAAAGCAGGGGAUCUUCGGACCUUGCGCGAUUGAAUGAGCCGAUGUCGGAUUAGCUAGUUGGCGGGGUAAAGGCCCACCAAGGCGACGAUCCGUAGCUGGUCUGAGAGGAUAAUCAGCCACACUGGAACUGAGACACGGUCCAGACUCCUACGGGAGGCAGCAGUGGGGACUAUUGGACAAUGGGAGCAAGCCUGAUCCAGCCCUACCGCGUGGGUGAAGAAGGCAUUCGGGUUGUAAAGCCCUUUUGUUGGGAAAGAAAAGCAGCAGGUUAAUACCCCGCUGUUCUGACGGUACCCGAAGAAUAAGCACCGGCUAACUUCGUG